This 504-nucleotide ribosomal RNA is filed under the name uncultured bacterium. Its description in RNAcentral is "bacterial SSU rRNA". It matches the Rfam family "Bacterial small subunit ribosomal RNA", at positions 30 to 518 of the family's 1533-position model. The record is from RNAcentral.
CGAACGCUGGCGGCGCGCUUAAGCAUGCAAGUCGAACGGCAAGGCAGGUGCUUGCACCUGCCCUAGAGUGGCGGGACUGGUGAGUAACACGUGGGUGACAUGCCUUUAGUUGGGGAUAGCUACUAGAAAUAGUAGAUAAUACCGAAUGUGAUCAAUAUUUAUAGAUGAUGUUGAGGAAAGGAGCUAAGGCUUCGCUAAAAGAUUGGCCCGCGGCCCAUUAGCUAGUUGGUAGGGUAAAGGCUUACCAAGGCGAUGAUGGGUAUCCGGCCUGAGAGGGUGAUCGGACACAUUGGGACUGAGAUACGGCCCAGACUCCUACGGGAGGCAGCAGCUAAGAAUAUUCCACAAUGGACGAAAGUCUGAUGGAGCGACGCCGCGUGGAUGAUGAAGGCCGAAAAAGGUUGUAAAAUCCUUUUACACUGGAGGAAUAAGCAGAGUAGGGAAUGACUCUGUGAUGACUGUACAGUUUGAAUAAGCAACGGCUAAUUACGUGCCAGCAGCAGC